UACAGAGGUCUCAAGCGUUGUUCGGAUUCAUUGGGCGUAAAGGGUGCGUAGGCGGCGCGGUAAGUCGGGUGUGAAAUCUCGGAGCUUAACUCCGAAACUGCAUUCGAUACUGCCGUGCUUGAGGACUGGAGAGGAGACUGGAAUUUACGGUGUAGCGGUGAAAUUCGUAGAUAUUCGCAAGAACACCAGUGGCGAAGGCGGCUCACUGGCCCGAUACUGACGCUGAGGUGCGAAAGCGUGGGGAGCAAACAGG
Molecule: ribosomal RNA, 253 nt
Filed under: uncultured bacterium
Lineage: Bacteria
Description: partial 16S ribosomal RNA
Rfam family: Bacterial small subunit ribosomal RNA
Source: RNAcentral